Molecule: ribosomal RNA, 564 nt
Filed under: Collariella bostrychodes
Lineage: Eukaryota; Fungi; Ascomycota; Sordariomycetes; Sordariales; Chaetomiaceae
Description: eukaryotic LSU rRNA
Rfam family: Eukaryotic large subunit ribosomal RNA
Source: RNAcentral
ACGGAGGAAAAGAAACCAACAGGGAUUGCCCUAGUAACGGCGAGUGAAGCGGCAACAGCUCAAAUUUGAAAUCUGGCUUCGGCCCGAGUUGUAAUUUGUAGAGGAAGCUUUAGGCGCGGCACCUUCUGAGUCCCCUGGAACGGGGCGCCAUAGAGGGUGAGAGCCCCGUAUAGUUGGAUGCCUAGCCUGUGUAAAGCUCCUUCGACGAGUCGAGUAGUUUGGGAAUGCUGCUCAAAAUGGGAGGUAAAUUUCUUCUAAAGCUAAAUAUUGGCCAGAGACCGAUAGCGCACAAGUAGAGUGAUCGAAAGAUGAAAAGCACUUUGAAAAGAGGGUUAAAUAGCACGUGAAAUUGUUGAAAGGGAAGCGCUUGUGACCAGACUUGCGCCGGGCGGAUCAUCCGGUGUUCUCACCGGUGCACUCCGCCCGGCUCAGGCCAGCAUCGGUUCUCGUGGGGGGAUAAAGGCCCUGGGAACGUAGCUCCUCCGGGAGUGUUAUAGCCCAGGGUGUAAUGCCCUCGCGGGGACCGAGGUUCGCGCAUCUGCAAGGAUGCUGCGUAGACGGACU